Molecule: unclassified non-coding RNA, 251 nt
Filed under: Basidiomycota sp.
Lineage: Eukaryota; Fungi; Basidiomycota
Description: partial contains small subunit ribosomal RNA, internal transcribed spacer 1, and 5.8S ribosomal RNA
Rfam family: Eukaryotic small subunit ribosomal RNA (bases 1-47)
Source: RNAcentral
AAAGUCGUAACAAGGUUUCCGUAGGUGAACCUGCGGAAGGAUCAUUAGUAAUUGUGGGGUUGCUGCUCUUGUCGCAAGGCGAGGGCGGCCGGCUCUUAUUGAUCUGUGAACUGGGUUUUGGUGGUUGGCUUGCCUCUUUCGGGGGGCGGGUCGUCGCCGCCGAGCCUUCUUGUUUUCUGUUUAUUCUUACAAUUCUUAGUUGAAAAACUAGAAAUCCAAGACAACUUUCAGCAAUGGAUCUCUUGGCUCUU